Hypanus sabinus (Atlantic stingray) is the source of this 7409-nucleotide RNA transcript. It is a transcript of the gene named zinc finger protein 850-like, with no coding region annotated. The record is from RefSeq and is a predicted model, not a curated record. The transcript has 4 exons. Lineage: Eukaryota; Metazoa; Chordata; Chondrichthyes; Myliobatiformes; Dasyatidae.
GCCUUCUCCGAUAAAUACGCAUGCGCGCAGUAUACAAAAUGUCGGGAGGAUCGGAAAGGUUAAAAAUGAGAAGGAAUUUAUCUCCAGGAAGCUCAAACAUGGCACACCAGUUUUGUUGUCUCUGUCCAGAUAUUUAAGAAGUGGGGUGAGGGAUUCAAUCGACCAUCCUUCCUGCUCAGACUGUGGGGAGGGAUUCACUCGAUCAUCCUUCCUGCUCAGACUGUGGGGAGGGAUUCACUCCGUCAUCUGACCAACUGGCACGCCCGUCAUUUUACACAGGAGAGAGGCCGUUCACCUGCUCAGACAGUGGGAAUGUAUUCACUCGGUCAUCACAAUUGAAGGUACAUCAGCACAUUCACACUGGGCAAGGCCAUUCACCUGUACUGUGUGUGAGAAAGGAUUCAGUCAGUCUUCCCACCUGUGGACACACCAGUCAGAUCACUCUGGGCAAAGGCUGGUGAUCUGCUGAAUAUCUGGGAAAGGAUUCACUCAGUCAUCUGACCUAAUGGCACACCAGCGUGUUCACACUGGGCUGAGGCCGUUCACCUGCUCACAAUGUGGGAAGGGAUUCACUCAGUCAUCCCACCUGCACAGUCACAAACGAGUUCACACUGGGGAGAAGCCAUUCACCUGCUCAGUCUGUGGGAAGGGAUUCACUCAGUCAUCCACACUACAGAGUCAUCAGCGAGUUCACACUGGAGAGAGGCCAUUCACCUGCUCAGAGUGUGGGAAGGGAUUCACUCGGUCAUCCCAACUACUGGCACACCAGCAAGUUCACACUGGGGAGUGGCCUUUCACCUGCUCAGAAUGUGGGAAAGGAUUCACUAAGUCAUCCAGCUUACUGGUACAUCAGCGAGUUCACACAGGGGAGAAGCCAUUCAGCUGCUCAGUGUGUGGGAAGAGAUUCAUUCAGUCAUCUUACCUGCAGAGUCAUCAGCGAGUUCACACAGGGGAGAAGCCGUUCAGCUGCUCAGUGUGUGGGAAGAGAUUCACUCAGUCAUCCCACCUACAGAGUCACCAGCGAGUUCACACCGGGGAGAGGCCGUUCACCUGCUCAGACUGUGGUAAGAGAUUCACUCAGUCUUCCACCCUACAGAGUCAUCAACGAGUUCACACUGGGGAGAGGCCGUUCACUUGCUCAGAAUGUGGGAAGAGAGUCACUGAUUCAUCUGCCCUACAGAAGCAUCAGCGAGUUCAUACUGGGGAGAAGCCGUUCACCUGCUCAGAAUGUGGGAAGAGAUUCACUGAUUCAUCCACCCUACAGAAGCAUCAGCGAGUUCAUACUGGGGAGAAGCCGUUCACCUGCUCAGAAUGUGGGAAGAGAUUCACUCAAUUAUCCAAUCUACAGAGACAUCAUCGAGUUCACACUGGGGAGAAGCCGUUCACCUGCUCAGUCUGUGGGAAGAGAUUCACUGAUCCAUCCACACUACUGAGUCAUCAGCGAGUUCACACUGGGGAGAAGCCAUUCACCUGCUCAGAAUGUGGGAAGGGAUUCACUCGGUCAUCCUACCUACAGAGUCAUCAACAAGUUCACACUGGAGAGAAGCCGUUCACCUGCACAGAAUGUGGGAAGAAAUUCACUUGGUCAUCCACACUACAGAGUCACCAGCGAUUUCACACCGGGGAGAAGUCGUUCAUCUGCUCAGACUGUGGGAAGGGAUUCACUGACUCUUCCACCCUACAGAGACAUCAGCGAGUUCACACUGGGGAGAAGCCAUUCACCUGCUCAGAAUGUGGGAAGGGAUUCACUCAGUCAUCCCACCUACUGGAACACAAGUUAGUUCACACUGGGGAGAAGCCGUUCACCUGCGCAGAAUGUGGGAAGAGAUUCGCUCACUCAUCCAACCUACAUAGUCAUCAGCGAGUUCACACUGGGGAGAAGCCGUUCACCUGCUCAGAAUGUGGGAAGAGAUUCACACACUCUUCCACCCUUCAGAGACAUCAGCGAGUUCACACUGGGGAGAAGCCGUUCACUUGCUCAGAAUGUGGGAAGGCAUUCACUCAGUCAUCCCACCUACUGGCGCACCAGUCAGUUCACACUGGGGAGAGGCUGUUCACCUGCUCAGACUGUGGGAAGGGAUUCACUCAGUCAUCCAACCUACAGAGACAUCAGCAAGUUCACACUGGGGAGAAGCCGUUCACCUGCUCAGUCUGUGGGAAGAGAUUCACUCAGUUAUCCCAACUACUGGAACACAAGUCAGUUCAUAGUGGGGAGUGGCCAUUGUUAUGAAUCCCUAGGUUUCGUUUGAUAUGGACUGUCAUUUUAAGAGAGAUUUAGAAGGUGAAUCAGUCUGACUUGCAGCUUGUUUACAUCACUCGCAGCUUGUUUUGUUUUAACCGAGGACACAGACACUCAGAUUCAGAUGGAGACGGAUGAAAAAUGGAAGGAUUGAAACCAGGGAACUAGUGGCCAAAGGUCACUGUUUAGAACUUUCCUGUGCCCACAAGGGUGGGUUAAUUAUCCAUUCACUGUACAUCGAAUGUGUGGUUGUCACCUUGUUUGAUCCAUAGACGUGUAUCUGAUUUGAGGUAUCCUGUGAAGUCCACUUAUGUGUUAACCCUUGCCUGGGUGUGACGUGGUCAUUCAUUUGAAGAUGAUACCCCUCAUGACAAGUCACUUUCGGUGAUAAUUUGUAUGUAGAUUUGUAAAGAUGACUGAUAAAAUCUACAGCAACUGGUCUCUCAUUUUACCACUGUGGAACCUGUAGAACAGACAGACAGACAGACAGACGUACUUUAUUGAUCCUGAGGGAAAUUGAGUUUCAUUUCAGCCGCACCAACCAAGAAUAGUGUAGAAAUAUAGCAAUAUAAAACCAUCAAUAAUUAAAUAAUAAUAAGUUAAUCUUUGCAAGUGGAAAUAAUUCCAGGACCAGCCUAUUGGCUCAGGAUGUCUGGCACUACGAGGGAAGGUUAGAAAAGUUUGAUGGCCACAGGCAGGAAUGACUUCCUGUGACGCUCAGUGUUACAUCUCGGUGGAAUGAGUCUCCGGCUGAAUGUACUCCUGUGCCUAACCAGUAUAUUAUGGAGCGGAUUGGAGUCAUUGUCUAAGAUGGCAUGCAACUUGGACAUCAUUCUCUUUUACGACACCACCGUCAGAGAGUGCAGUUCAACCCCCGCAACAUCACUGGCAUUACGAAUGAGUUUGUUGAUUCUGUUGGUGUCUGCUACCCUCAACCUUCUUCCCCAGCACACAACAGCAAACAUGAUAACACUGGUCACCACAGCCUCGUAGAACAUACUCACCAUCGUCUGGUAGAUGUCAAAGGACCUCAGUCACCUCAGGAAAUAGAGUCGGCUCUGACCCUUCUUGUAAACAGCCUGUGUGUUCUUUGAGCAGUCCUGUUUAUUGUCAAUUCGUAUCCCCAGGUAUUUGUAAUCUUCCACCAUGUCCACACUGACCCCUUGGGUGGAAACAGGGGUCACCAGUGCCUUAACCCUCCUCAGGUCCACCACCAGCUCCUUAGUCUUUUUCACAGUAAGCUGCAGAUGAUAAACGUGGGCUAUAAACGUGCAAGAGCAGUGUGUGGUUCAGUGCUUUGCUCAAAAACACUCACACUGCCUCGGCUGAGGCUCGAAAACAUGACCUUCAGAUCACUAGUUCAACACCGUAACCAGCUGGCCACGCACCACACAUUAUGACCUAGUGAAGCAGGCUGUGCUCAAAACUUAUGAGUUGGUUCCAGAAGCAUAAAGGCAAAAGUUUAGAAAUUUGAAGAAACCUGUGAAACAGACUUAUAUGGAAUUUGCUUAUGAGUAAUUUGUGUGUAUUGCCCGCUGGUGCACAUAUAAAAAAUAUAAAUAAUGAUUUUAACAGCUUGAACGAGUUGGUUUUAACUGAAGAAUCCAAAAAGUGUGUCCCUGAUGACAUAAAGAUGUAUUUAGAUGGAAAUGAUGCUGCCACUAUGCAGGAGUCUGCUAGAUUAGCAGAUCAGUUUGCUUUAACUCAUAAGGUUAUGGUUACCCUGAAUAAGAGUUUCGAAAAGAGUAGCAGGGAUAACCAGGGUAAACCAGAAAUUAAUGCUGGGAUUUGUCACAGUUGUCAAGUUUUGGCUAAACCUCAUCAGGUCACCCCAGUGGCCCCACUCCGACCUAUACCUGCAUUCUGUGAACCCUUUUCUAAAGAUAUAGAGAAUUAUGUUGGCCCAUUGCCAAAGCCUAAAGCUGGCCAUCAGUAUCUGCUAACUAUUAUGUGUACUGCGUCCAGAUUCCCAGAGGCAAUGCCUCUCAGAAAUAUUAAAGCUAAAACUGUGGCGAAGGCUCUUACUGAGUUUUUUUUUACUUUAUUCGAUUUGCCUCAAGAAAUCCAGUCUGAUCAAGGAAGUAAUUUUACAUCUGGGUUAUUCCAGCAGGUAGUUUAUGUACUGGGAGCAAAACAAAUUACAUCGUCUACAUACCAUCCAGAAUCACAAGGGGCUUUAGAAAGAUUUCACUAUACCCCCAAAACAAUGAUUAAGACAUACUGUGUUGAAAAUGGAAACAACUAGGAUGAAGGAAUACAUUUGCUUUUGUUCGCAGUAAGAGAGUCGGUUCAGGAAUCAUUGGGCUUUACUCCAUUUGAACUCGUAUUUGGACGCAGAGUGAGGUGACCUUUGACCUUGUAAAAGGAGCGGUGGAUUGGUAGGGAUUUACAUGUUAACUUGUUAGACUAUGUUUUAAAUUUCAAAAAUAAACUACACCAAUUCUGUGGUCUAGCGAGACAAAACUUAAAGAUUUCUCAAAACAAAAUGAAGUGUUGGUUUGAUAAGCAGGGUUGUGAAAGAAAAUACCAGGUGUGAGAUAAGGUGCUUGCCUUAUGUUGACGAAUCCACUUCAGGUGAAAUUCAAUAGACCGUAUGAAAUAGUCUCUCAAUUUAAUGAUGUGAAUUAUGUUAUUACAACACACAACCUACGUAAACUAACACACCUGGCACACAUAAAUAUGAUAAAGCCUUGUUUUGACAAUCAGGCACCAUCUGUGUGUGUUGUUGUCAAAACAUAUGAAUCUGGCAACCCUGAGCUUGAAACAAUUGACUCGUCUGAGACUUUUUACAAGCCAAACGUGGUCCCAGUUCGGCUAAUGAACUCCGUUGUUCCAGAAAACAUUGAUAACAAGUCGGCUCAUCUGCAGCCAAAGCAACAACAACAGCUGAAGGAAUUAAUUCUGAAGUUUAAAGAUUUCUUUCCCGAUGUUCGCAAGCAAACCACGGUCUCAUUACAUGAUGCAGAUAUUGGUCAAGCCAAACCGAUUAAACAACACCCAUAUCGCAUGAACGUAGAGAAUGUAAAUUGGCUGAGCAAUUGUUGUAAGCGUGGAAACAGAUUCAGUAGGUCUCAGGGGCACAGAUUAUGGGAAGGUAAAUGAAGUAACAAAAACAGAUGCCUAUCCUGUCGCUAGGAUAGAUGAUUGCAUCGAUAAAGUUGGAAUAGCUAAUUUCUUACAAAGAUUGAUCUGUUGACAGGGUAUUGGUGUGUUCUAUUGACGGACAGACAUAGAGAAAUUUCUGCCUUUGCGACACCAUCUCGGUUGUAUGAAUACAAUGUUUUGCCUUUUGGAAAGAAAAAUGCUCCAGGAACAUCCCAGAGAAUGAUUAAUUUUGAAAUUCGAGGGUUAGAACACACAGAUGCCUAUAUUGAUGACUUAGUCACAGGGAGUGACACUUGGGAAGAGCAUAUCUCUGAUUGGUAAGAAGGCUCAGAAGGUUUCUGGGAAUGGAUGGAUAUUAUCGUAAGUUCUGUAAGAACUUUGCUGCUCUCGCUCUUCCUCUGACUAAUCUCCUGAAGAUGGGUGAAAAGUUUGUUUGGACUGAACCUUGUCAGGAGGCAUUUGAUCGAUUGAAAGAUAUUAUUUGAGAUUAGGCCGAUCAAUGUAGUAUUCUCAGCAAAUUUAAUUAGCAGAUUGGAGCUGUGGGUGGCAACACAAGUCAUGGGUGCACAGAGAGUAAAGGAGAGGGCCAAAGUGACAACCCUGUGGGGUAUGUGUGCUGAGGGUCAGAGAGACAGAGGAGAUGGAGCCCACUCUUACCACCUGCUGGUGAUCUGACAGGAAGUCCGGGAUCCAGCUACACAAGGCAGGGUGAAGGCCGAGGUCUCUGAGCUCCUUGUCGAUACUUCAUGCCUUUGUAUGGCUUCUGCUCUGCCCAUGACUGCAAGAAACUGCAGAGAACUUUGGAGAGCAGAGAACAUCAGAGAAACAAGCCUCCACUCCAUGGACUCUCCCUACACUUCCCCUCCCUCGGAAAAGCAGGCCAUGUACACAAAGAACCUCAUAACCCGGACAUUCUUGCUGCAAACCCGCUCCCACAUUGGCUGAGAGAUACAAAAGCCUUAAAGUGCGUAACACCAGGCUGAAGAACGGCUUCCUGUCUGCAGUUAUAAGCCAAAUGAAUGAUAAAAUGGACUCGGCCUCACAAUGUAACUCGACGUGACCCUGCACCAUAUGUCUAUCUGCACCGCACUUUCUCUGCAGCCAUAAUACUUUUUUACAGUUAUUUUUUUGUUGUCUAUGAGCUCAAUGUACUGUUGUAAUGUAUCGAUCUGUGUGGAUGUUACAUCAGGCAAGAUUUUCACUGUAGCUCAGUACGUGAUGAUAAUAAACAAAUACACCACUUUAAUUGUGUGGAAAUAUUAGACAGACUGAGCUUCUGCUCCGGAACCACAGAAGGAAACUGACCAGUUGUCAUUUCUGUGGAAAGCAAAUAUAUGGAAAAUGCUUCAAUCUCACAUUACGAUCUGCGGUAACUGGGAUCAGGUGACUGGCGGUGGGUCUCCCAUAUCAAUAUCAGAAUCAAGUUUAAUAGCACCAGCAUAUGCCAUGAAAUUCGUUGUCUCUGCGGUAGCAGUAGAACCUAAUUAACAAAGGAUCUUAACAAUUGUGACUUAAAUUAGACCUGUGGUGAGAGAUUUAUUGGAAGAAAAACACCAACUGGAGGCAAACCACGACUGAAGACGAGGGAACAGCAACAAGUGUACCAGCCCGAGGACUGAGAGCACCGACUGGAGAGAAACCAAUCUGACUCGGAGAUUCCAGUGAUUCAGUCAGGAGAACGUUUGGUUAAAAUCGACCAGGAAUUUGUCUAUGGGAAUUCAAACUCAACACACCAGUUGUGCUGUUUCUGUCUAGAUAUUUAAGGAGCAAGAGAUUCAAUCAGCCAUCCUUCCUGCUCAGACUUUGCGGAGGGAUUCACUCGGUCAUCUGAUCAAUUGACACGUCCAUCAUUUUACACGGGAGAGACCAUUCACCUGCUCAGACUGUGGGAAUGGAUUCACUCGGUAAUCUCAACUGAAGCUACACACUGGGGAAGUCCAUUCAUCUAUUCUGUGAGUGGGAAGGGGUUCAGUCGGUCUUCCCACCUGUGGACACACCAGUCAGUUCACACGGGGCAGAGGCUGGUCAUCUGCUGAAUUUGUGGGGAAGGAUUCACUCGGUCAUC